CCUACGGGAGGCAGCAGUGGGGGAUAUUGCACAAUGGGGGGAACCCUGAUGCAGCGACGCCGCGUGGGUGAAGAAGCGCCUCGGCGCGUAAAGCCCUGUCAGCAGGGAAGAAAAUGACGGUAUCUGAAGAAGAAGCCCCGGCUAACUACGUGCCAGCAGCCGCGGUAAUACGUAGGGUGCAAGCGUUACACGGAUUUACUGGGUGUAAAGGGGGCGCAGACGGCGAGGCAAGCCAGGGGUGAAAGCCCGGGGCCGAACCCCGGGACUGCAUUUGGAACUGCGUGGCUGGAGUGCAGGAGGGGUAGGCGGAAUUCCUGGUGUAGCGGUGAAAUGCUUAGAGAUCACGAAGAACUCCGAUUGCGAAGGCAGCUUACUAGACUGCAACUGACGUUGAUGCGCGAAAGUGUGGGUAUCAAACAGGAUUAGAUACCCCAGUAGUC
RNAcentral lists this ribosomal RNA (440 nucleotides) under uncultured bacterium. RNAcentral describes it as "partial 16S ribosomal RNA". It matches the Rfam family "Bacterial small subunit ribosomal RNA", at positions 338 to 795 of the family's 1533-position model. The record is from RNAcentral.